Molecule: transfer RNA, 69 nt
Filed under: Eospalax rufescens
Lineage: Eukaryota; Metazoa; Chordata; Mammalia; Rodentia; Spalacidae
Description: tRNA-Ile
Rfam family: tRNA
About the family: Transfer RNA (tRNA) molecules are approximately 80 nucleotides in length.
Source: RNAcentral
AGAAAUAUGUCUGAUAAUAGAGUUACUUUGAUAGAGUAAAAAAUAGAGGUGAAAAUCCUCUUGUUUCUA